CAUAAAUUGUUAAUCGUAAUUAUGCUUAUCGAUAUGCUGAUUAAAUUAGAUUUUAAUGAUCAUAGAAAACUCAAACUACAUCGACGUUUUGUUAAAAGAUAACAUUGAGUUAUUACUUUUUUACGAACAACGAACCUUUACAUAUCUUUUUUCAAUCGAAUUUAAAACAUUGUCUUGUUUAUUCUUUUUACAAGAAACAAUAGCAUUGAUUAUAAAAAAAAAGAAAACGGUUCAAUAGUAUCGUUGAAAAGGAGUCAGUCACACGUCGUAUAACGUGGACAACGACAUAUUUCCCCUACCCUUGUUCAUCCGCACAUUGUGGCGGCAGCAGCAGCAACAGAAACAUCAGCGACAGCAACGCAACAGUCGACAGUAAAGCAUGGUACAGAAAAGCUGUAAAUGAAUGCUGAAAAUCUAAUUUUGGAAAUAUUACAAAAUUCUUCUUGAUUUUAACAACCACGUACAUAAAAUAGGUAAGGAAAACAAAAAACAGGAAGAUGAACCGCAAACAUCAAUAGCAACAACAAUAACAAGCUCUCCUCUCUUACUAAAAAGGAUAUCCUUGGUUCUUAAAAAUAAACGUCAGAUAUAUUUUCGUAUAGUCAAACAUUAUCCUUGGUCUAAACUUUUAGGAUAUUUUGUCACGAAACGAAACGAAACGAAACGAAACGAAAUGAGACGAAUCGCCACGAGACACGACGAAACGCGACGAGUCGCGACUCAAGGGUUCUAGUUAUUGAUUCGUCCGAAGGGGAAGGUACGCGCAAACGUUUCCCACUUUCCGUGUUCACACACACACACACACACACACACACAGAGAGAGACAGACAGACAGACAGAGAUACACGCACAUAUAUACAAUGUAACCAUCUACCACUCUUCGAUCUGUUUCUUCCUUCGGUCAAUCACCAACGAAUAAACACACACCAGGAACUACAUAUAUACCUCUUAAUUUCACUUCAGACAGAUUCUUCUGCUAAAAGAUCACGACGACGACUCUUGUGAAAUAGUCGAAAGAACGUUCAUAGCAAAUCCUUUUUUUCUUCAUUGGGGGGAGGGGGUAGCAAGGUCAAACGUCGGGAUCGAUAUUUAUACAAUCUCUCUGUGUGUCAUCUCUACUAUUUCCCAUCUACCAAUCUGUAAUUCCCCUCUUUGGACAAAGAGCUAAUUCAACAGCCAAGUAUGACACUCCGUACAUUUAGAAUUAAUAAUAUAGGAUGCAUAAGUUACGAACGACCUAGAGAUGACCUCAAAAACAAGUCCAUGAUCUCUAACUGGCUUUUGUUAGCUAAGUUAAAACUCUUAUCGGUCUAGCGUUGUGUUUAUUUUUAGAAAAACCGUGACGAUAUCAUCGGUCCUUGUCGGAAUUACCGUUGACUUAUCUUUGCGUCAUUUUUCUUCUUCUUUUUCUAAGAAAAAUAGAAGAAAAUAAAGAUUUAACAAUGUAAGACCUCUCUAACUGUAGUAGGGAAAUACAUAUGUAUAAAUAAAUAUGUUGCUGAGAUUACAGACAAGACUAAUUUGGUCGAUAAACGACUAAAGUAUAUAGAAAUGGUAGGCACAAUUUAUUCGCGUUCUAGACCUUCUUAAUACGUACAGCUUACCAUUUAAAGACGACCUAACGACCUUAUUGUCCAAUUACAUAAAGAUUAGCUGUCUUACUAGGACAUCUACUAUUAUGACAUAGAUGUAAUACUUUAUCAGACAAUUUAGGAUAGCAUACAAAAAAACUAAUUUGUUGCUUAUCUAUAAUAUUUUGAAAAAAUAAUCGGUUUCAUUAAUAUGAAUUCUACGGAAAUAGUAUUACUCAUUCUAAAAGUAUUCUUAAGAAAUGUCAAUGACUCAUAGUAUGUGCAUCAAAUCAAAUUUUAAAACAAAUCGUACGUUUCUUGUAUUACUCGGGAAAUAUAGAAAAACUUUAAUAGAAAAUUCAAUAUCUUUUGUGUUCCAUUUUUUCUCUCAGCAAAAUUUAAUCGAUUUUAUAAGGAAACGGGGAAAAAGGUCCGAGGAUAAAAAAGUUUCCGAUAAGAUAAAAUUCUGAAAGUUUUAGAGGCACAGUCAAAGGCACUUUGUGUCCCUUAGCCAGGAAUGAAUAUACUCGACAUAACUGACAUAGUUAUAUCUUCACUUACAAUUUCUUCGGCUUAUUACCUAAAAGCUUACCAAAAUUUUGGUUCAAAAUAAACUCCUGCCAGUUAAAAAUAUAAUUUCGACAACAAUCGUGAAUUUACGACAAUUAAACAAUUAAACAAAUAAACAAAUUGUAAAAAAAAGCAAAAAAAACAUACGAGGAACUUAAACAACAAGGGACAAAAGAAUAAAAAUGUCUGUUAGUUAGGAGAAUUAGAAAUAGCCGAAAAUAACCAAUAAAGGGUGGGGGAGAAGGUGAUGAUGACGAUCAUUUGUUUGCCCUCAAAAGAAAAAAAUCCUCGAGGUAGGAGGCGGAUUUAUUAAUUUCCUUCAUUCUUUCAAAGCCGAUCGAACAACGAGAACGAUGACGACAACGACAACGACGACGACGAGGAAGAAGACUCUAUAACGAACACCAAAUCAGGGGGGGGGAUGUUUUCAGCUAGGUUAGUAGCGCGUUACUAGCGUUCGUCGAAUGAGUAGCACGUAUAUAGGGGUGGAGCAGAAGAGCCACCCGGAACGGCUGGGGUGGUAAUCGUUACUCCCGUCUACCAGCCUGUCUACCGACCCUUUACUGGACUCUGAACGUUUCACCUCUAACAGAGACACUACCUCUCACCAAAGACACCAACCAACAUCGCAGCAAACCCAUACCAACCAUCCAACCAACCAACUCACCCCUCUCGAGAAACGCGCGCUCGCUCGCUGAUUUUCUCGAGCUUCUUUUUCUCAAACUUCAACAAUCCAUUCUCCUUCCUUUUUCAACCCCCCACCCCUUUGUACUCCUCCUCCUUCACCCCCACUACCAACGCGCAACUGCUUCAAGCGCGAUGGAAGAAAAUAUCGACCGGGGAGCCCUUUUGGCGCGCACCGCGCCACCGAAGAUGCGAAACACGCUCCUUUCUCGACAUUCCGAAUACGGAAACUUCGAGAAUGGUGCUGCCAUCAUUGGAGUUUUCAUUCAAGUCCUGUUUAUGAAAGAAAAGCCCCCCCCCCUGACGCCUGCGCAAAUCUUCUUUACACGGAUUUUGUCAUUCUUCGAAAACAUCAAACUACUACGAACUCUCGGGAUAAAAAUGUCUCAUGUGAACAUUGGAAAAAUAAAUAAAGUUUUCGCGUUAAAAGUAAAAACUGUUAAUAAAAACUGGUCAAUUACUUUUUAUUAGAAAAUUGACACCUUUUUUUAUCAAAAUUCUAUUAUCAAGACUAUAAAUUCGACGGAUACAUUUUUUUCAAUUAGACUAUUAAUUGUUAACAGGUUUGACAAUAAUUCUAUAUCUUUGAAUUAGAUCAUUUUUCACAGUUAGCAGUGUGCAUUGGCCUUGAAAUUGUUUAAUGUUUUAUCCCUUGCACAUAAAAAAAAUCUUAACGCAUUUCUUUCAAACUAGCGAUUAACUUUUCUGAAGGAAUAUAAUUUUAUUUGUAAGAAAAUACGAGAGCUGUGAUUGUAUAAAGAUAUUAUUAAAACGAGUUCCUCAAAUGAAUUAAAUUAAACGCUUUUCACUCGCAUAUUUUCGCUCAAGUGAGAACAAAUCUUGAUCGCGAUCUGGUCACUUAAAUGUACAAAUUAAUCUUGACACGAGAUAAAAAAAUCUAGGUUGAUAGAACUACAUAUGUAAUAGAUGUAUUACAGUUAUUUUACAAAUACAUAUAUAUAUGAUAGAUAACGAGGAUGAAUUGAACGAGUUGGACGACUAUCAGGUAUAUUGGUCGCAGAAGCUGGAAAGGUCACUCUUUCGCGCAACUUGUACGGACCAGUUUGCCUCUAUGCCCUCUAUUUCCUUGAAGUACUCUCUCCCAUCAUCUUCCAGUUUCUACUCUUACAGUUUUCUCAAUCAUAGUAUGCUAGGAAUACAUAUACAUAUACCAAUAAAUAUGUGUUGGGUUGCCCUAUUAAUAGUUCACGUUAGAAACAAAAUAUUUUUAAAUAAAUUAGCAAUACAUAUCUACAUAUACCAAUAAAUAUGCGUUGGAUUGCCGUAAUUCAUUGUAAAAAAAAGGAAGAAAAUAUUUUUAGUACAAAAAUUUCUCAUCGAUAAGACUACUACUCUCCAAGAUAUUAUUAAAAAGGUAAUCAUGGUUGCUAAUUGGAGAAAAAAAAAAUAAUAUAAAAUAUAUUUAAAAAAAGAAAGUCUGAACUCGUAACU
Molecule: long non-coding RNA, 4277 nt
Organism: Polistes dominula (European paper wasp)
Lineage: Eukaryota; Metazoa; Arthropoda; Insecta; Hymenoptera; Vespidae
Source: RefSeq, a predicted model, not a curated record